AAAAUACUCCCUCGUCUCAAAAUUGUUGUCUUAGAUUUGUUUAAAUAUGAAUGUAUCUAGUCAUGUUAUAGUAUUUAGAUACAUCUAUUUUUUAACAAACCAAAGACAACAAUUUUAAAACGGAGGAAGUACAUA
Molecule: non-coding RNA, 135 nt
Organism: Hordeum vulgare subsp. vulgare (domesticated barley)
Lineage: Eukaryota; Viridiplantae; Streptophyta; Magnoliopsida; Poales; Poaceae
Source: Rfam